GCAGUGGUGGUUCAGUAGUAGAAUUCUUGCCUUCCAUGUGGGAGACCUGGGUUUGAUUCCCGGCCAACACA
Molecule: transfer RNA, 71 nt
Filed under: Loxodonta africana (African savanna elephant)
Lineage: Eukaryota; Metazoa; Chordata; Mammalia; Proboscidea; Elephantidae
Rfam family: tRNA
About the family: Transfer RNA (tRNA) molecules are approximately 80 nucleotides in length. Their secondary structure includes four short double-helical elements and three loops (D, anti-codon, and T loops). Further hydrogen bonds mediate the characteristic L-shaped molecular structure. tRNAs have two regions of fundamental functional importance: the anti-codon, which is responsible for specific mRNA codon recognition, and the 3' end, to which the tRNAs corresponding amino acid is attached (by aminoacyl-tRNA synthetases). tRNAs cope with the degeneracy of the genetic code in two manners: having more than one tRNA (with a specific anti-codon) for a particular amino acid; and 'wobble' base-pairing, i.e. permitting non-standard base-pairing at the 3rd anti-codon position.
Source: Rfam by way of RNAcentral